Molecule: long non-coding RNA, 426 nt
Filed under: Rattus norvegicus (Norway rat)
Lineage: Eukaryota; Metazoa; Chordata; Mammalia; Rodentia; Muridae
Description: long non-coding RNA NONRATT023687
Source: RNAcentral
UUCUUCUCAAUCUGGUCCAUCCUGGGCCUCUCAGGGUUCCACACUUACCUCGUGGCCUCCAACCUGACAACUAAUGAAGACAUCAAAGGGUCUUGGUCCAGCAAGAGGGGUGGUGAGGCCUCUGUCAACCCCUACAGCCAUAAAAGUAUUAUCACCAACUGCUGUGCUGUGCUCUGUGGCCCACUGCCUCCCAGCCUGAUCGACCGGAGGGGAUUUGUGCAGUCUGAUACUGUGCUGCCCUCGCCCAUCAGAAGUGAUGAGCCAGCCUGUGGAGCCAAGCCAGACGCCAGCAUGGUAGGAGGCCACCCCUAAAUGUGACUGAGUGCUUGCCACCCACCGCCCUCCACGCCUGCCGGGACCCUCCCCGCCUGCCGGGACCCUCCCCAUGCCAUCUGAGGGAAGCAGAGCUGCCAAAGACUCCAGUCU